Molecule: unclassified non-coding RNA, 344 nt
Filed under: soil metagenome
Description: partial contains 5.8S ribosomal RNA, internal transcribed spacer 2, and large subunit ribosomal RNA
Rfam family: 5.8S ribosomal RNA (bases 2-119)
Source: RNAcentral
UUGAAGAACGCAGCGAAAUGCGAUACGUAAUGUGAAUUGCAGAAUUCAGUGAAUCAUCGAGUCUUUGAACGCACAUUGCGCCCCCUGGUAUUCCGGGGGGCAUGCCUGUCCGAGCGUCAUUGCUGCCCUCAAGCACGGCUUGUGUGUUGGGCCUCCGUCCUCCUCCCGGGGGACGGGCCCGAAAGGCAGCGGCGGCACCGCGUCCGGUCCUCGAGCGUAUGGGGCUUCGUCACCCGCUCUUGUAGGCCCGGCCGGCGCUUGCCGACACAUCAAUCUUUUUUCCAGGUUGACCUCGGAUCAGGUAGGGAUACCCGCUGAACUUAAGCAUAUCAAUAAGCGGAGGA